GGUGGCUCAGUGGUUGAGUGCUUGCCUGGCAUGCAUGAGGCCCUGGGUUCAAUUCCUCAGCACCA
This 65-nucleotide transfer RNA is filed under the name Dipodomys ordii (Ord's kangaroo rat). It matches the Rfam family "tRNA". Rfam says of the family: Transfer RNA (tRNA) molecules are approximately 80 nucleotides in length. Their secondary structure includes four short double-helical elements and three loops (D, anti-codon, and T loops). Lineage: Eukaryota; Metazoa; Chordata; Mammalia; Rodentia; Heteromyidae. The record is from Rfam by way of RNAcentral.